GGUAGUCCAUGCCGUAAACGUUGGGCGCUAGGUGUGGGGACCUUCCACGGUCUCCGUGCCGCAGCUAACGCAUUAAGCGCCCCGCCUGGGGAGUACGGCCGCAAGGCUAAAACUCAAAGGAAUUGACGGGGCCCGCACAAGCGGCGGAGCAUGCUGAUUAAUUCGAUGCAACGCGAAGAACCUUACCUGGGUUUGACAUAUACCGGAAAGCUGCAGAGAUGUAGCCCCCUUUUGGUCGGUAUACAGGUGGUGCAUGGCUGUCGUCAGCUCGUGUCGUGAGAUGUUGGGGUUAAG
Molecule: ribosomal RNA, 294 nt
Filed under: uncultured bacterium
Lineage: Bacteria
Description: partial 16S ribosomal RNA
Rfam family: Bacterial small subunit ribosomal RNA
Source: RNAcentral